UCAGUGUGCUUGACUAUUCCGUAUAUAUAGACGAAGAAAUGAAAAU
RNAcentral lists this small nucleolar RNA (46 nucleotides) under Drosophila sechellia. RNAcentral's name for it is "snoRNA:GM27581". Lineage: Eukaryota; Metazoa; Arthropoda; Insecta; Diptera; Drosophilidae. The record is from RNAcentral.